UUACGGCCAAAUCACACUGAAAUACUGGUUCCCGUAUGAUCACCGAAUUUAAGCAAUGUCGAGCCAGGUCAGUACCUUGAUGGCUAACCGUUUGGGAAUACCAGGUGCUGUAAG
This is a non-coding RNA of Acanthosepion pharaonis, 114 nucleotides long. Lineage: Eukaryota; Metazoa; Mollusca; Cephalopoda; Sepiida; Sepiidae. The record is from the annotation of a GenBank genome assembly.